UUAAGCGACUAAGCGUACACGGUGGAUGCCCUGGCAGUCAGAGGCGAUGAAGGACGUGCUAAUCUGCGAAAAGCGUCGGUAAGGUGAUAUGAACCGUUACAGCCGGCGAUGUCCGAAUGGGGAAACCCAGUGCAAUUCGUUGCACUAUCGUUAACUGAAUACAUAGGUUAACGAGGCGAACCGGGGGAACUGAAACAUCUAAGUACCCCGAGGAAAAGAAAUCAACCGAGAUUCCCCCAGUAGCGGCGAGCGAACGGGGAGCAGCCCAGAGUCUGAAUCAGCUUGUGUGUUAGUGGAACGGUCUGGAAAGUCCGACGGUACAGGGUGAUAGUCCCGUACACCAAAAUGCACAGGUUGUGAACUCGAAGAGUAGGGCGGGACACGUGGUAUCCUGUCUGAAUAUGGGGGGACCAUCCUCCAAGGCUAAAUACUCCUGACUGACCGAUAGUGAACCAGUACCGUGAGGGAAAGGCGAAAAGAACCCCGGCGAGGGGAGUGAAAAAGAACCUGAAACCGUGUACGUACAAGCAGUGGGAGCACCUUCGGGUGUGACUGCGUACCUUUUGUAUAAUGGGUCAGCGACUUAUAUUCUGUAGCAAGGUUAACCGUAUAGGGGAGCCGCAGGGAAACCGAGUCUUAACUGGGCGUUAAGUUGCAGGGUAUAGACCCGAAACCCGGUGAUCUAGCCAUGGGCAGGUUGAAGGUUGGGUAACACUAACUGGAGGACCGAACCGACUAAUGUUGAAAAAUUAGCGGAUGACUUGUGGCUGGGGGUGAAAGGCCAAUCAAACCGGGAGAUAGCUGGUUCUCCCCGAAAGCUAUUUAGGUAGCGCCUCGUGAAUUCAUCUUCGGGGGUAGAGCACUGUUUCGGCUAGGGGGUCAUCCCGACUUACCAACCCGAUGCAAACUACGAAUACCGAAGAAUGUUAUCACGGGAGACACACGGCGGGUGCUAACGUCCGUCGUGAAGAGGGAAACAACCCAGACCGCCAGCUAAGGUCCCAAAGUCAUGGUUAAGUGGGAAACGAUGUGGGAAGGCACAGACAGCCAGGAUGUUGGCUUAGAAGCAGCCAUCAUUUAAAGAAAGCGUAAUAGCUCACUGGUCGAGUCGGCCUGCGCGGAAGAUGUAACGGGGCUAAACCAUGCACCGAAGCUGCGGCAGCGACACUAUGUGUUGUUGGGUAGGGGAGCGUUCUGUAAGCCUGCGAAGGUGACCUGUGAGGGUUGCUGGAGGUAUCAGAAGUGCGAAUGCUGACAUAAGUAACGAUAAAGCGGGUGAAAAGCCCGCUCGCCGGAAGACCAAGGGUUCCUGUCCAACGUUAAUCGGGGCAGGGUGAGUCGACCCCUAAGGCGAGGCCGAAAGGCGUAGUCGAUGGGAAACAGGUUAAUAUUCCUGUACUUGGUGUUACUGCGAAGGGGGGACGGAGAAGGCUAUGUUAGCCGGGCGACGGUUGUCCCGGUUUAAGCAUGUAGGCUGGUUAUCCAGGCAAAUCCGGAUAAUCAAGGCUGAGGUGUGAUGACGAGGCACUACGGUGCUGAAGUAACAAAUGCCCUGCUUCCAGGAAAAGCCUCUAAGCAUCAGGUAACAUUAAAUCGUACCCCAAACCGACACAGGUGGUCAGGUAGAGAAUACCAAGGCGCUUGAGAGAACUCGGGUGAAGGAACUAGGCAAAAUGGUGCCGUAACUUCGGGAGAAGGCACGCUGGUGUGUAGGUGAAGUCCCUGCGGAUGGAGCUGAGACCAGUCGAAGAUACCAGCUGGCUGCAACUGUUUAUUAAAAACACAGCACUGUGCAAACACGAAAGUGGACGUAUACGGUGUGACGCCUGCCCGGUGCCGGAAGGUUAAUUGAUGGGGUUAUCCGUAAGGAGAAGCUCUUGAUCGAAGCCCCGGUAAACGGCGGCCGUAACUAUAACGGUCCUAAGGUAGCGAAAUUCCUUGUCGGGUAAGUUCCGACCUGCACGAAUGGCGUAAUGAUGGCCAGGCUGUCUCCACCCGAGACUCAGUGAAAUUGAACUCGCUGUGAAGAUGCAGUGUACCCGCGGCAAGACGGAAAGACCCCGUGAACCUUUACUAUAGCUUGACACUGAACAUUGAGCCUUGAUGUGUAGGAUAGGUGGGAGGCUUUGAAGCGUGGACGCCAGUCUGCGUGGAGCCAACCUUGAAAUACCACCCUUUAAUGUUUGAUGUUCUAACGUUGGCCCCUGACCGGGGUUGCGGACAGUGUCUGGUGGGUAGUUUGACUGGGGCGGUCUCCUCCCAAAGCGUAACGGAGGAGCACGAAGGUUAGCUAAUCCUGGUCGGACAUCAGGAGGUUAGUGCAAUGGCAUAAGCUAGCUUGACUGCGAGCGUGACGGCGCGAGCAGGUGCGAAAGCAGGUCAUAGUGAUCCGGUGGUUCUGAAUGGAAGGGCCAUCGCUCAACGGAUAAAAGGUACUCCGGGGAUAACAGGCUGAUACCGCCCAAGAGUUCAUAUCGACGGCGGUGUUUGGCACCUCGAUGUCGGCUCAUCACAUCCUGGGGCUGAAGUAGGUCCCAAGGGUAUGGCUGUUCGCCAUUUAAAGUGGUACGCGAGCUGGGUUUAGAACGUCGUGAGACAGUUCGGUCCCUAUCUGCCGUGGGCGCUGGAGAAUUGAGGGGGGCUGCUCCUAGUACGAGAGGACCGGAGUGGACGCAUCACUGGUGUUCGGGUUGUCAUGCCAAUGGCACUGCCCGGUAGCUAAAUGCGGAAGAGAUAAGUGCUGAAAGCAUCUAAGCACGAAACUUGCCCCGAGAUGAGUUCUCCCUGAGACUUUAAGUCUCCUGAAGGAACGUUGAAGACGACGACGUUGAUAGGCCGGGUGUGUAAGCGCAGCGAUGCGUUGAGCUAACCGGUACUAAUGAACCGUGAGGCUUAACCUU
This 2900-nucleotide ribosomal RNA is filed under the name Klebsiella pneumoniae UCI 25. RNAcentral's name for it is "bacterial LSU rRNA". It matches the Rfam family "Bacterial large subunit ribosomal RNA". The record is from RNAcentral. Lineage: Bacteria; Pseudomonadati; Pseudomonadota; Gammaproteobacteria; Enterobacterales; Enterobacteriaceae.